GACGAACCGUGCGAACGUUGUUCGGAAUCACUGGGCUUAAAGGGCGCGUAGGCGGGCUGCCAAGUCUGGGGUGAAAUCCCACGGCUCAACCGUGGAACUGCCUCAGAUACUGGCGGCCUCGAGGGGGGUAGGGGCAUGCGGAACUAUGCGUGGAGCGGUGAAAUGCGUUGAUAUGCAUAGGAACUCCGGUGGCGAAGGCGGCGUGCUGGACCCUUUCUGACGCUGAGGCGCGAAAGCCAGGGGAGCGAACGGG
Molecule: ribosomal RNA, 253 nt
Filed under: uncultured bacterium
Lineage: Bacteria
Description: partial 16S ribosomal RNA
Rfam family: Bacterial small subunit ribosomal RNA
Source: RNAcentral